Long non-coding RNA from Myotis myotis, 1405 nucleotides. RefSeq lists it as uncharacterized. The transcript is spliced from 3 exons. The record is from RefSeq and is a predicted model, not a curated record. NCBI's taxonomy places the organism in Eukaryota, Metazoa, Chordata, Mammalia, Chiroptera, Vespertilionidae.
UAAGUCCUAUAAUUCUUCAAACAUUAUCUAAUAAAAAGCUAAAAAAUAAUUAUAGUACCUUAGCUUUUACCAUGUGCCAGACUCUGUGUUGGUUGGUUUAUAUGUGAUUAAGGCUCUUUACAACCAAAUGCAGUGGGCAUUAUUAUAACUCUUUAUUCUACAAUUGAGGAAAGUGAGACUUAGAAACUUGAAAUAAAGUGUUUGAACUGGAUCUUUGUGAAACCGAAUGCUAAACUUGAACUACUCUGCCAUACUGACUCAUUCCUUUCAGAGUCAAAGCAAAUGCAUGUAAAAAGGACCUCCAGGCACCAUCUGCUUUGUUUAAACCCAAACUAAACUGUUGCCAGCUGAAAAAUAUAUGAGCACAUAGUAAUAUUGGAAGCAGACACUUUAAAGUGAGGUAUGGGGAUUCCAACCAAGAUUUUACUUCUGACAAUGCUACUUGCCUUUAUGUCCCUCAUUUCUCUGUGGGAAGCCGAUGUAGAGAAACAAGCACUGUUCUUUAAUUGAAUAUGAUGUAAGAUGUGCCAGCAUUAUGAAUCACAAGACAAUGAAAUAUUUUAUGUGGCUUUAAAGCUCUUGCGCCUCAGGGGAGAAUACAUUCCUGGUCAAUGACGUAUUUUGAGGUUGUGUAUUUAUUCUACCUUUUUUAAGUUAUAUAAAAGCACUUUUCCUAUAACCAUUAAUGCUAUCCUUUUCAUCAAUCAUAUGCAUCGCCAUGACAUUACCUUUGAAUUCAUUCUUUUUCUCUUUGAAUAUAUGAAUCCCUAGGAGUGUCUUUUUUAACAAACACCUCUCAUAAUUACUUGAAGACUCAAUCUGAGCUGAUCUUUUAUUGUUCAUAUUCUAUCUGCUUGUCUCCCAAAUUUCCUGGGACUAUUUCAGUAGAUGUUCUAGGUCUUUCUUCCUUGCCUUUUAAAUUAUAUCACUUAUAAGAACAUAUCUCCUUGGAGUUGAAGCCCAUGAAACACAGCAGUGCUGUCAGAGCUAUAGAGAGAAUUAAGAAGGGGGAAUGGAGCGUGCGCUGUCUCUUCAGGUGAAGAAACUGAGCCAGAAGAAAUUAAAUGACUUGACCAAGAUUACACAGUUUGAAAGAAACAAGCCAAGACAAAAAUAAAAUUGAAAAAAUUUUUCAAAGUAAGUUUCUCCUUUCAACAUUUUUCAAUCAACAUGUAUUAAGUACCCACAAGGUACUGGCACUCUAUGAAGUACUAGGGUGUAGAAAGAUGUAAAAUCGGGGAAACUUUUUUUCUGGGCCCUAGUAGAAUUUAAAGGACAGAUUAUAUACUUAACUAUUAAGAUUCAUUCAUUUGUUUAUUUGUUUAUUCAUUUAUGGCAAUUUUCUGGUUUUUGAGAUCUGCCCUUAAAGGAAAGUUAUGGUGAAAAAUCUGUCAGGGGCUAUUAC